This 1800-nucleotide long non-coding RNA is filed under the name Marmota monax (woodchuck). Lineage: Eukaryota; Metazoa; Chordata; Mammalia; Rodentia; Sciuridae. The record is from RNAcentral.
GAGUACUUGAAACCUGCUUUUAUUGUUGGUAGUGCUUUGUCAGAUUGAUGACUAUCUUGUCAUAGUAAAAAAGGCCAUGAUGAUCUAACAUGAGCUGUGACAAUGAUGCUUUACUCUAUUUAUUUCUGUAUCACUCUGAUUGCUCAAGGACCUGCUCUCUUCCUUUCGCAUUAACCACAGCUGCCAAGUCAACUAGUCAAAACAUUUCACAAUUGAACAUUAAUGGACUCAAGAACAUUAGCAGGAGCAAAUACAAGCAGGCUACCAUAGUAACCCAAGAAAUCUGAGGAAAUGAUGUUCUAUUCAAGGGGAAGACAAUGUCCCAAAACAAAGCUUUGCAUAAACAGGUUGGCUUCUCCUGUUUAAAAUGUGUGAAGGUGAAAUGAGCUUCUGGUUUCUCAUUGUUCAUAUUCCUCACUAUAAUUAGAGUUAAGUUCUAUCAAUACUGAAGUCAUUAAAAUUUUAAAGCAAUAGAUUAUUAAAUUAAUGGGGGUAAAGAAUUAAGAUUAUUUUACAUAGACCUAGUCAUUUUAGGAUGUUUAAAAUUAUAUGAUAAAGUUCAUAAAACACAACAGGCAAAUUGUAGUUAAUGGAUCAGUAAGAUUCUAGAUUUGGCUGUUCCAGAAAUGUCACUCACCCACAAAGGUACAUGGGAAAUACAUUCCUCAUUGUAACUCUGUUUUUUAUGUUAUCCCUUAACUUGUAUUAGACAAUCAACAAUCCGCAAAAAAAAAAAAAAAAAAUUUAUUAUUAUUAUAGUGGAUUUCAGUCUUUUCCUGUUUGAAGCAAGAUCUUCAACACUUGAACUUUUGGAGUCACUUCUAAAGGGAUUAACAGAAUCAAAUAGUACUAAGCACAUAAGGAAUAAUUAAAUUUUCAAAAAUGCUUUAGUAGAGGAACUUCUCAUAGUCUUCCUAUAAAAUAAUCACAACUUUUCACAAUUCACGUCAUUAUCUUCCAACAGGGUAUCACUAAAUAUAACUGUUUAUUGCCAGAUAGGAGUUCUCUUAGUACUGAGGAGGCAAAUUCCUGCACACUGCAGUAACUUUUACAUCUUUCAACAUUUGGCAGUACAUCUAGGAAGGAUACAAUAAAGAACAGACAUGAGAAGCAGUGAUUUAUUGAAUAUCCACUGAGUAUAGAGCCCUUUAGUAAUUUUGUGCAUCUUUUUUCAUAAUUUGAUUUCAUUUCCAUGAAGGUCAAUGGAAAAUGAGGAAGACGUUUCCAAUCAAAUUGCGAACAAAUAGAUACUUUAUCAUGUAUUCAAUUAAAAUUAUUCUGGAAUGGGUGAGCACAUUUUUAACAAUAAGAAGUAAAGGCAAGUCUAAACUCUACUAAUAGUAUUCUGUAAUUGCAGAUCCAAGACACUAAGAGAAAGGUGGAAGGAUAAUGAGAAGAAUACAGGCUGAAGAGAAAGGAGGAAAGAUAAACUGGCAAUUUGCAACCAAGAAUUAACCUAGGGAUGUGCAUUGACACUAGUUUUAUAAUUUUUGUCCAUUUUGUGAUUAACAAGCUGACUUAGCUUAAUUUGAUUCUCCUUUCUUUGUAAUACAUAUUUAACAUAUUUAUACUAAGUUAAGUUACAUGUUUAGAGUUCAAAGUAAUGCCAGCACUGAGGAAUGAUCUUAGGAAAUAAGUUAAUUUCAUGAAGAUAGGAGAAAACAGCUACAGUAUAAAUGAUCCAUUAUUUUAAAUGUCAGUUUGUAAAAGAGCAAUCAUUUAUAUUCAUUGUGAUCACUAUGUAGGAUGGCUGUUUCUGUUUAUUUGUUUGCCAUCAUAUCAGUUUAUACCUGCUGCCCC